Monodelphis domestica (gray short-tailed opossum) is the source of this 340-nucleotide long non-coding RNA. NCBI's taxonomy places the organism in Eukaryota, Metazoa, Chordata, Mammalia, Didelphimorphia, Didelphidae. The record is from Ensembl.
UUAUUACUAAAGCUUUCUAAAAUUCAUCUCUCUCUCUCUCUCUCUCUUUCUCUCUCUCUCUCUCUCUCUCUCUCUCUCUCUCUCUCUCUCUCUCUCUCACACACACACACACACACACACACAGAGUUCUUUCCACAGUUUGAAAAUCUCUCAUCUAGAAGAAAAAAAAAAGAGUGCCUCAGACAGAGCCUGGAGGGACAUCCAUGUAAAGUGCUUGCUGCUAUAUUUUUCUGAUUCCUGGUACAACUGUCCAGUCUUCUUCCUAGCACCUGCUGCUAAGAAACCCUUUAAGAGCAAUCCAGGAUACUAUUUAAAAGUCAAAGAGAAAGAGCCACUGUGA